This 253-nucleotide ribosomal RNA is filed under the name uncultured bacterium. RNAcentral describes it as "partial 16S ribosomal RNA". It matches the Rfam family "Bacterial small subunit ribosomal RNA", at positions 524 to 776 of the family's 1533-position model. The record is from RNAcentral.
UACGAAGGGGGCUAGCGUUGUUCGGAAUUACUGGGCGUAAAGCGCACGUAGGCGGAUUUGCCAGUCAGGGGUGAAAUCCCGGGGCUCAACCUCGGAACUGCCUCUGAUACAGCAAGUCUUGAGUCCGGAAGAGGUGGGUGGAAUUCCUAGUGUAGAGGUGAAAUUCGUAGAUAUUCGCAAGAACACCAGUGGCGAAGGCGGCUUACUGGUCCGGAUCUGACGCUGAGGCGCGAAAGCGUGGGGAGCAAACAGG